Molecule: ribosomal RNA, 427 nt
Filed under: uncultured bacterium
Lineage: Bacteria
Description: partial 16S ribosomal RNA
Rfam family: Bacterial small subunit ribosomal RNA
Source: RNAcentral
UGGGGAAUAUUGGACAAUGGGCGAAAGCCUGAUCCAGCCAUGCCGCGUGUGUGAAGAAGGUCUUCGGAUUGUAAAGCACUUUAAGUUGGGAGGAAGGGCAUUAACCUAAUACGUUAGUGUUUUGACGUUACCGACAGAAUAAGCACCGGCUAACUCUGUGCCAGCAGCCGCGGUAAUACACAGGGUGCAAGCGUUAAUCGGAAUUACUGGGCGUAAAGCGCGCGUAGGUGGUUUGUUAAGUUGGAUGUGAAAUCCCCGGGCUCAACCUGGGAACUGCAUUCAAAACUGACUGACUAGAGUAUGGUAGAGGGUGGUGGAAUUUCCUGUGUAGCGGUGAAAUGCGUAGAUAUAGGAAGGAACACCAGUGGCGAAGGCGACCACCUGGACUAAUACUGACACUGAGGUGCGAAAGCGUGGGGAGCAAACA